AUAAGAUUAUACAAACUAGUAACCAUAGAUGAUAUAACCAUUGUCAUAAUAUGUGAAAUCUUACUUGAGAAUGCUCUGGGCACUUAGCUAUGGAAGGUAGAAUGGAAAUUACAACAAUAAAAUCCUAAUUCUAAUAGAAUACUAACUAAAAUCUAAUUAGACUAUAACAAUGCUAAACAAGCUUUAUUCAAAAUCAAAGAAAUGUCAAAGGAAUUACAAAGAAACAAUAAGAAAUCUUAAAGAAAUAUUAGAAUGCUUACAAAUAUAAGUCAAAUAUAUCUCAAUUCAAUCUUAAUUUAAUCCUAAUUAAAAUCCUAUUGGUCUUCAUUAAAACUUUAGGCCAAAAACUAACUAAAUCUUAAAUCUUAAAUAAAUAUUGAUAAAAUCUUAAACCCUAAUCAAAUCCUAAUCCUAAACCAAAUCCUAACCAAAUCCUAACCAAAUUCUAAAUCCUAAACCAAAUCUUAAUCUUAAAUCAAAUCCUAAUCCUAAAUCAAACCCUAACCAAAUCCUAAAUCCUAAACUAAAUCCUAACCAAAUCCUAAAUCCUAAACCAAACCCUG
Molecule: long non-coding RNA, 563 nt
Filed under: Physcomitrium patens
Lineage: Eukaryota; Viridiplantae; Streptophyta; Bryopsida; Funariales; Funariaceae
Description: long non-coding RNA (PPAT_LNC010627)
Source: RNAcentral